CUCAAGGAAUCUCAUCCUAAUGUGAGUCGGUGUCUUCAAGACAGGGAAGUGUGCUGGGACUGAGGACAAAGUGCUGUGAAAUGGUCAACAUCCAGUCUCUGAGAUACAAUGAAUCUAGUCAUGACAUUAUGCUGUAAAGGCAUACCUGCAGUCUCUUUGUUCUCCGAAUCAGCUGUUACUGAAGACACUAAAGAUUCCAAAUCCUGGUCCAGUGAUAUGACUCGCUUCCUUGUUGUGCAGGUGACAUCCUUACCAGGUUUGGGCCUAGAUGAACACGGUAAUGGAGGACCACUGGUUAACCUGUAAACAAAUACAGAAGCACAGAAUGCGAUUAAGACACUUGAGAAAAUGUAAUUCCCUUUUAGACCUUUAAUGC
Long non-coding RNA from Carcharodon carcharias (great white shark), 376 nucleotides. RefSeq lists it as uncharacterized. Lineage: Eukaryota; Metazoa; Chordata; Chondrichthyes; Lamniformes; Lamnidae. The transcript is spliced from 3 exons. The record is from RefSeq and is a predicted model, not a curated record.